GCACGUAGUUAGCCGGUGCUUAUUCUUACGGUACCGUCAUUAGCCCUCUUUAUUAGAAAAGGCCGUUUCGUUCCGUACAAAAGCAGUUUACAACCCGAAGGCCUUCAUCCUGCACGCGGCAUGGCUGGAUCAGGCUUGCGCCCAUUGUCCAAAAUUCCCCA
RNAcentral lists this ribosomal RNA (161 nucleotides) under uncultured bacterium. Its description in RNAcentral is "partial 16S ribosomal RNA". The record is from RNAcentral.